This 185-nucleotide small RNA is filed under the name Paenibacillus sp. RNAcentral describes it as "c-di-AMP sequence". It matches the Rfam family "c-di-AMP riboswitch aptamer (ydaO/yuaA leader)". Rfam says of the family: This family represents a conserved RNA structure found upstream of the ydaO and yuaA genes in Bacillus subtilis and related genes in other bacteria. The ydaO/yuaA element is thought to act as a genetic "off" switch for the ydaO and yuaA genes in its native state. It is believed that the element may be triggered during osmotic shock leading to activation of ydaO, a predicted amino acid transporter gene, and members of the yuaA-yubG operon which code for KtrA and KtrB K+ transporters. The record is from RNAcentral. Lineage: Bacteria; Bacillati; Bacillota; Bacilli; Caryophanales; Paenibacillaceae. RNAcentral also lists the same sequence under 1 other name.
AUAAGAAGUCCGCUUAAUUUCCGUUAAGGAAAGCGGGGGAACCAACAACUGGGAACCAGUGUAACAAUCGGUACUAGUUAUGGGGUGAAUCCUGUUCCAGGUGCAUAAAUGCAUCCAUGCAGGUAGGGCAACUCUCACUGCCCGAAUCCGACAGCUAACCUCGUAAGCGUAUGGAGAGAGGAUGA